UACAUUGUACUUACAUAUAAUAAUAAUAAGUCUUUGGGCCGGAGCAAGCCAGAGGUCCUGAGUUCAAUUCUCAGCAACCACAUGAUGGCUCAUAACCAUCUGUACAGCUACAGUGCACUCAUAUACAUAAAAUAAGUCUUUAAGAAAAAGUUGAUAACCGUCAAAGAAGAGAAUGUAGCAGUACUGAAGUUGGUUCUUUUUUGUACCCACACUGUGUGUCUGUGUUGUUUGUUGUUUUAUCCACGUUUAUAGUGUUAGACUCCCAUGAGUUGUAUUUUUAUUGUCAUAAGUGUUUUUAGAUAUUUUUUCUUUUCUUCCCUUCAUUCAGCAAAAUUGGACUUGGUCUGAAGAAAGAGCUUACUACCUCUGGGGCUUCUAAACCAACUCUUUCCCAGACCUCCUGAACUUAGAUGAUCCAGGGAUUGGGGACUGAGUAUUUUUACUUUCUCCCAAAGCUUCAUAUGGGGAGUUUACAUCCAAAACCUGGUUAGGAACUUUAUUCCUAUACUCAAGGUUUCAAAUACAAGAUGUCCACUGAAGUAUAAAUUUUUCUCUGUAGCCCUCAAAAUUUUGAACCUUGGUAAUUUUCAUGUUAUACCUUCUACCACUAUUUGUGUUUAACUUAAGGUUCUGGCUAUGUUUCCCAGGUUGCCCAUUACCUUCUGGGCUAGCCUUAGUAGCUGGGAUUCAAGGCACAUGCUCUUGAUGCUCAGCUUUAUUACUUGUUUUCCAAGGUCUUAAAAUGUGCUUCCUCGCCUUAGCUCCUAUGAAUACUGCGGCCAUGAACAUGAAUAUACAGAAAUCUCUUAGACCCUGCUUCUAGUUCUUAGCAUAGUAGGUAUUGUGGUUGAGUUUAAAGUAGAACAUCUUUGAACAAAAGCUCCUUAAAUCUUUCUGCUCGUUUUUUUUUCUUCAAAGCAGUGUUUCUAUGUAGUUCUGGCUGCCCUACAACUUGCUGUGUAGACCAGAUUGGCUUCAUACUCACAGAAGUCUCCCUCCUAAGUUCUAGGAUUAAAGACUUGCCAGCUUUUUGUAUUUUAAAUUUUGAAUUGUGGGUUUAAGGAGUCCUCUGUCUAUUCAGGAUUCUACCUCCUCAUCAGAUAAGUGAUUUUCCCUUUUUCCUCCCACUCUGAAUUCAUUGCCUCUCUUGGCAGUAUUUUUAUAUAAAAGUUUUUCAUUUUCUUGAGAUCCAACUUGUUUGUACCUUCAACAUCAUAGUAAGAAAUUGUUAUCAGCUACAAUGUCUUAAUGAUUUUGCCUUCCAAGUUUGGUUUUAUUCUUUUAACUCUAACUUUUAGGACUUUGGUACAAAUUGUUUUUUCUAUGUAAUUUUAAGGAGAGCUCAGCUUCAUUUUUUUUAUAACUAUUAAUGUCUAUAUUCUCACAUGAAAUGGCAGGAACAAACACUAACUGUAAAUUAAAUGUAUACACCUUUUGAAAAUUAAGUGCUUGGAAACAAAGUAAAAGUGUAUGUUCACUAACUGGAAUUUAUCUCAACAUAUUUUACUAAACUUCUGAUUAGCUCAUUAAUAAUACCUUUUUGGUUUCUAGAGCAAUGUUGAUCCCAGGGAUGAUGUGUUUGGAUAUCCUCAACAAUUUGAAGACAAACCACCACUGAGUAAAACAGAAGAUAGGAAAGAGUACAAUAUUGGUGUUCUAAGACACCUUCAGGUUAUCUUUGGCCAUUUAGCUGCUUCUCGACUACAGUACUAUGUGCCUAGAGGAUUUUGGAAACAGUUCAGGUAAAGUAGAUGGACAGUGAUAAACCACAUAUCUUAAUAAAUAGCUCAUAUUCCUAAAAUAUGUAUCUUAAGAUAUCUUUAUGUUCUAGCCUUGAUUAUGAAAAUAUAAGAUGCAUAUACAGUAGAAUUAUCGUAACAUAUAUUCCUUCCUACUACUUUCUAAAUUAUUUUGAGACACAGAUCACAGAUAAUAGUUUCACCUAUAAAUACUUCAUUGUGUGUCUUUGUUUUAAAACAUAAUGAAUCUAUUACUGUGCUUUUUAAAGAUCCCUUGAUAUUGAAUAUAUUCAGCAUUUCAACUUUCCCAUUAUCUCAUAUAAUUUUUCCCAAAUCUGAAACCAUGUGAAAACCAUAUAGCUUAAAUAGUAUUUUCUCUCUUUUUUUUCCUGCAUGUUCUUUAAGGUGCCCAGUGAGAUCCAGAGGCUUGAUCAGAUUAGCAUAUUUUUGGUUUUGUGCAGGAGAUAGGCAUGGCUAUUAGAUGGGUGAUAUGCCUAUAUAGUUUUACCUCCAUGAGGAGUUGGUACAUGGCAUUUUUCUGCCUCUUCUGAUGGUAGCAGCAAUCAUAUUAUUCAGCUUAUACAAUGAAAUUCUUCCAGCUGUUACUCUAUCAAAGGAACAGGUUAAUUUAGAGCAGUUUUGAUGAUUUGAAAUCCAAGAUUGAACAUUUGAAGGAGGAAGAUUCAUUGAUUGCCUUUUCAUAAUGAUAUAGAGGCCCACUAUUGCUGGAUUGUGUGUAGGAGAAAAACCAUGAAAGAAUAGACAAGGCCACCGUGCGAUGGUGGCGCACACCUUUAAUCCCAGCACUUUGGGGGGGGGGGUGCAAAGGGAGGCGGAUUUCUGAGUUCCAGGACAGCCAGGUAUACACAGAGAAACCCUGUCUC
RNAcentral lists this long non-coding RNA (2623 nucleotides) under Mus musculus (house mouse). RNAcentral describes it as "long non-coding RNA chrX:13146393-13149016". The record is from RNAcentral. Lineage: Eukaryota; Metazoa; Chordata; Mammalia; Rodentia; Muridae.